GAGGAAGGACCGAAAGGAGAAUUCUCUUACACAACAGAAACGGACGCGAAUCAUGCGCAGCAAAAAGCCGGCAAUAACCAACCUUCCUUCUCUUACCUGUACAUUGGUUGUCAUUAAGACAGUCGCUAUUCUCUUUCAAACCUAUAUAUAUGCACCUUUCCCUGCUCACAUUUUCCAACAAUUUCCCUCUAUUCAGUUUCACAAGAUUUGGAUACAAUCCUUGUUAAUUACUAUUAAUUACUAUUAUUUAUUUGUUUCGAAUGGCGUCGCGAAGUGGGGUUGUUUUUGAAGAUUUCUUUCCAGCCAUGGUGGAGAAACUGGGUACUGAUGGGUUUAUGAAGGAGCUGUGCAAUGGGUUUCGGUUGUUGAUGGAUGAGAAGAAGGGGGUGAUCACUUUUGAGAGCUUGAAGAGGAAUGCCAACCUGCUUGGGUUGCAAGAUAUGAGCGAUGAUGAAGUAAUGUGUAUGUUGAGAGAAGGAGAUUUAGAUGGAGAUGGAGCUUUGAAUGAGAUGGAAUUUUGUACCCUCAUGUUCAGGUUGAGUCCUGGCUUGAUGAGGAGUUCUAGAAAAUGGCUUGUAGAAGCUCUUGUUAGUGAAAUGUAGGCUUUACGUUAUUGCUGUUUCUCGUUUUCUUUGGGCAAUCUUUUCUUUCGUUUUUUCCCCCGCCGAUCGGUUUGUAAUUUCCAGUUUAGUAGAAAUGAGAUCUUAAUUCCAUGAAUCCAAC
RNAcentral lists this unclassified non-coding RNA (723 nucleotides) under Hevea brasiliensis (rubber tree). Lineage: Eukaryota; Viridiplantae; Streptophyta; Magnoliopsida; Malpighiales; Euphorbiaceae. The record is from RNAcentral.